This 219-nucleotide long non-coding RNA is filed under the name Vigna radiata. RNAcentral describes it as "long non-coding RNA (VRAD_LNC012860)". Lineage: Eukaryota; Viridiplantae; Streptophyta; Magnoliopsida; Fabales; Fabaceae. The record is from RNAcentral.
ACUUUUNUUUGACAUCUUAUGACAUGAUCUUGUGAUACCUGGUACUCAUUUGAGGGGGAGAUAUAUAAGGCUGUUAGAUAUGUGGUUAUUCAUCUAUACUUUGGUAUUUCAUCUUGUAUUUGCCUCUCAUUUUAUAAAAGUUCAAAUUUUAUAAAUUGCAUCUCUCUUUUGAUGAGGGUGAGAGCCAUUUAAGGGAAUAUCUUUACCUUAUGAUCUUAG